GGUUGAUCCUGCCAGCGGUGAUAUGCUUAUAUAAAAGAUUAAGCCAUGCAUGUCUACGAUCAUACUUUUAAUGGUGAAUCUGCGAACGGCUCAUUACAACAGCUAUAAUCUACUCGAUCUUGACUUCCUAAACGGAUAACUGCGAUAAUUUUGGAGCUAAUACGUGCACCAAGGCCUGAACUAACGUACGGGCGCACUUAUUAGUUUAAGACCAAUCGGGGAGACCCGUCCUGGUGACUCUGAAUAAUUUCGCUGAUCGCAUGGUCUAGUACCGGCGACGUAUCGUUCGAGU
RNAcentral lists this ribosomal RNA (292 nucleotides) under uncultured eukaryote. Its description in RNAcentral is "partial 18S ribosomal RNA". It matches the Rfam family "Eukaryotic small subunit ribosomal RNA", at positions 6 to 304 of the family's 1831-position model. The record is from RNAcentral.